Molecule: non-coding RNA, 81 nt
Filed under: Elusimicrobiota bacterium
Lineage: Bacteria; Pseudomonadati; Elusimicrobiota
Description: Elusimicrobia bacterium c-di-GMP sequence
Rfam family: c-di-GMP-I riboswitch aptamer
About the family: GEMM was predicted in a large-scale screen for bacterial structured RNA regulatory elements. Genes associated with GEMM are involved in a diverse array of functions, including chemotaxis regulation, signal transduction, secretion and chitin.
Source: RNAcentral
UCACGAUAAUAGCAAAGUCGGCGAAAGCCGGCGGCGCAAAGCCAGAGACCCGCUAAGUGACGCGGGGGUCAGGUUGCCGAA